RNAcentral lists this ribosomal RNA (322 nucleotides) under uncultured Cercomonas. RNAcentral describes it as "SSU rRNA". The stretch from base 63 to 322 matches the Rfam family "Eukaryotic small subunit ribosomal RNA", at positions 694 to 955 of the family's 1831-position model. Lineage: Eukaryota; Cercozoa; Cercomonadida; Cercomonadidae. The record is from RNAcentral.
GAUUUCUGGUAUGGCGCACUUGGCCCGCCGAGGUUACUCGGUUGUGUGCCGGUGUGCGCCUGCCAUCCUUCUAGGGAACGAUACUACCCUUUACUGGGUGGGUGUCGCUAUCUAGAUCUUUUACUUUGAAAAAAUUAGAGUGUUUAAAGCAGGCUUGCGCUAUGAAUACAUUAGCAUGGAAUAAUAAUUUAGGACUUUGGUCUUAUUUUGUUGGUUUCUAGGACUAAAGUAAUGAUUGAUAGGGAUAGUUGGGGGUGCUAGUAUUCAGCGGCCAGAGGUGAAAUUCUUGGAUUCGCUGAAGACUAACUUAUGCGAAAGCAUU